RNAcentral lists this ribosomal RNA (58 nucleotides) under Erysiphe alphitoides. RNAcentral's name for it is "partial 28S ribosomal RNA". The record is from RNAcentral. Lineage: Eukaryota; Fungi; Ascomycota; Leotiomycetes; Helotiales; Erysiphaceae.
UUGACCUCGAAUCAGGUAGGAAUACCCGCUGAACUUAAGCAUAUCAAUAAGCCGGAGG